RNAcentral lists this long non-coding RNA (613 nucleotides) under Lupinus angustifolius (narrow-leaved blue lupine). Its description in RNAcentral is "long non-coding RNA (LANG_LNC001441)". The record is from RNAcentral. Lineage: Eukaryota; Viridiplantae; Streptophyta; Magnoliopsida; Fabales; Fabaceae.
UGUGGCUGAGCUGAACCCUCGUCAUCUAAGGUUGAAUUCACUGGAAGCUUUGCCAAGUAUUCAUCCUCCAAUGUUGAGUCCAUUUGUAGCUUAGCCGAAUUCUCAUCACCCAAUGUUGUAUCUACCUCUGGCUGAGCCGAAUUCCCAUCCUCCAACAUUGAUUCUGUUUGUGGCUGAGCUGAACCCUCGUCAUCUAAGGUUGAAUUCACUGGAAGCUUUGCCAAGUAUUCAUCCUCCAAUGUUGAGUCCAUUUGUAGCUUAGCCGAAUUCUCAUCACCCAAUGUUGUAUCUACCUCUGGCUGAGCCGAAUUCCCAUCCUCCAACAUUGAUUCUGUUUGUGGCUGAGCUGAACCCUCGUCAUCUAAGGUUGAAUUCACUGGAAGCUUUGCCAAGUAUUCAUCCUCCAAUGUUGAGUCCAUUUGUAGCUUAGCCGAAUUCUCAUCACCCAAUGUUGUAUCUACCUCUGGCUGAGCCGAAUUCCCAUCCUCCAACAUUGAUUCUGUUUGUGGCUGAGCUGAACCCUCGUCAUCUAAGGUUGAAUUCACUGGAAGCUUUGCCAAGUAUUCAUACUCUCUCGAAUUCACUUGCUCCUGGGCCAAUUUCUCAUCCUCUC